GCAGCUCAUUCUUUGAGUAUUCUGAAGGCUAAAAUGAUCUUCCUCUGCGCAGUUUGUAACCGUAAGAUAUCAGAAAUAGUCUCGGUAUUCCUUUUAUAUUAGGUAGUGGCAACAGAAUUUUGUCUUUCAUUAUAAUUUGUCAAAGGUUAAAGUGUUCAGUGUAGAAGGGUAGCUAAAGAAGUUAACAGGUUCAUAGCAUUUAAUUAAUAACAUCAUCGCCGAAGGAACCUAGAAUAUCACAGUAACGAACUGAUACAGAAAGGCUGGCGUUGGCUCACAACCUAUUUACUUGAUUGCCCACUGUAUGUGUGGGCUACUUGUGAAAUCAUUAUUUCCAAAGGUAACUCUUAGCUUCAUUCCCACAUUUAUGUGUCCAGUAAUUCAAAUUUUCAAUGAGAAUAUUUUACUGCAGUAGUUACAAUAUUUAUAAUCACCAUAGUGAAUAUAUAAUAAUAGUAAGACCAUGCAGUUUGGUUUUUAUCUCAGUAUUAGGUGAACAUAUACUUUCAGUUUGAAAGUAAAAAAUGUAAUGGGCUAAGAGUAAACAGAUACAUUUCUUUGUAA
Zootermopsis nevadensis is the source of this 564-nucleotide non-coding RNA. The record is from RefSeq and is a predicted model, not a curated record. NCBI's taxonomy places the organism in Eukaryota, Metazoa, Arthropoda, Insecta, Blattodea, Termopsidae.